UACAGAGACUGCGAGCGUUAUUCGGAUUCACUGGGCGUAAAGGGUGCGCAGGCGGCCGUGUGUGUGAGGCGUGAAAGCCCGGGGCUUAACCCCGGAAUUGCACCUCAAACUACACGGCUAGAGCAUUGGAGAGGGUAGCGGAAUUCACGGUGUAGCAGUGAAAUGCGUAGAUAUCGUGAGGAACACCAGUGGCGAAGGCGAGUCUCUGGACAUUUCCUGACGCUGAGGCACGAAAGCCAGGGGAGCAAACGGG
This 253-nucleotide ribosomal RNA is filed under the name uncultured bacterium. Its description in RNAcentral is "partial 16S ribosomal RNA". It matches the Rfam family "Bacterial small subunit ribosomal RNA", at positions 524 to 776 of the family's 1533-position model. The record is from RNAcentral.